Small nuclear RNA from Homo sapiens (human), 107 nucleotides. NCBI's taxonomy places the organism in Eukaryota, Metazoa, Chordata, Mammalia, Primates, Hominidae. The record is from Ensembl.
GUGUUUGCUUCAGCAACAUGUAUACUAAAAUUGGAAUGAUAUAGAGAAGAUAAGCAUGGCCCCUGCACAAGGAUGACACACAAAUUCAUGAAGCGUCCCAUAUUUUA